ACCGAUAGUGAACCAGUACCGUGAGGGAAAGGUGAAAAGCACCCCGGAAGGGGAGUGAAAUAGAACCUGAAACCGUGUGCUUACAAGUAGUCAGAGCCCGUUAAUGGGUGAUGGCGUGCCUUUUGUAGAAUGAACCGGCGAGUUACGAUUUGAUGCAAGGUUAAGCAGUAAAUGUGGAGCCGUAGCGAAAGCGAGUCUGAAUAGGGCGUUUAGUAUUUGGUCGUAGACCCGAAACCAGGUGAUCUACCCUUGGUCAGGUUGAAGUUCAGGUAACACUGAAUGGAGGACCGAACCGACUUACGUUGAAAAGUGAGCGGAUGAACUGAGGGUAGCGGAGAAAUUCCAAUCGAACCUGGAGAUAGCUGGUUCUCUCCGAAAUAGCUUUAGGGCUAGCCUCAAGUGAUGAUUAUUGGAGGUAGAGCACUGUUUGGACGAGGGGCCCCUCUCGGGUUACCGAAUUCAGACAAACUCCGAAUGCCAAUUAAUUUAACUUGGGAGUCAGAACAUGGGUGAUAAGGUCCGUGUUCGAAAGGGAAACAGCCCAGACCACCAGCUAAGGUCCCAAAAUAUAUGUUAAGUGGAAAAGGAUGUGGCGUUGCCCAGACAACUAGGAUGUUGGCUUAGAAGCAGCCAUCAUUUAAAGAGUGCGUAAUAGCUCACUAGUCGAGUGACACUGCGCCGAAAAUGUACCGGGGCUAAACAUAUUACCGAAGCUGUGGAUUGUCCUUUGGACAAUGGUAGGAGAGCGUUCUAAGGGCGUUGAAGCAUGAUCGUAAGGACAUGUGGAGCGCUUAGAAGUGAGAAUGCCGGUGUGAGUAGCGAAA
Molecule: ribosomal RNA, 824 nt
Filed under: Staphylococcus aureus
Lineage: Bacteria; Bacillati; Bacillota; Bacilli; Caryophanales; Staphylococcaceae
Description: partial 23S ribosomal RNA
Rfam family: Bacterial large subunit ribosomal RNA
Source: RNAcentral